This is a long non-coding RNA of Pan troglodytes (chimpanzee), 958 nucleotides long. RefSeq lists it as uncharacterized. Lineage: Eukaryota; Metazoa; Chordata; Mammalia; Primates; Hominidae. The record is from RefSeq and is a predicted model, not a curated record. The transcript is spliced from 2 exons.
AAUUGUGAGUCACAGAGUCCAGCCCUGUCUCCAGGACAGCUUGCCUUUGAAUCACUAUGACGUGGCUCAGCGUUACAGAUUUCCUAGUGGUGUCCAAGAAACUGACACCCAUCACUGCAGGCUGGAAAUGGCUCAACAUCAUUCAUUUGUAUUACACAUCUAAGAGCUAUAAAACAAACCCAGUGUGAAGGCAAAGUUUCCCCAUUUGUCUCCAGAAUAAGACAGACUAUUGCAAAAACAGAGCUGAUAAAACUCUGUCAACUUCAACAACUUGGUUAGAGGUCCUGAUAACAAGUGACAGCCUUAGCUUUUUACAGAGAACUUAUAGUGCCUUGGAAGCAUGUCAUGUGCAGAAUCCGCUACAGUUUCUUUGAAAAUAGCACAGUCAAACAUUCAAAAUUUAAGUGACGUUAAUGGGGAAGAGAGGAGGAGGUGGUGGUUAUAGCCAUGUCUACACUACUCUUUACAGAAGACAUAGAUGUCAGUGGUCCUUCACUCAUCUCAGAAAACAACUCACGACUCCAGCAGCUUGCAUGAUGAAACGGAAGAUCAUCAUUUGAGCUAUUCCACUGAAGUCAAGCAUGAAAUCUAUUUAGCUGGAUAGCUACCCAUUUCCUGUGACCUGCAAAAGAGAUGCCCUAUUCUUUCAGGAUCCUUGGAAUGCCACAUGCCCAGGCCCACUGGAAAACUGGGAAGGAAAACUGGAGCCACAUGCCUGGGCCCACUGAGAUUCAUCACCCUUCCCCUACAACCCUGUGUCAAGGAAACACAAAGAUAGAGUGGAUUUCAGCACCACCCAAUGCAGACGCAUGGCUGCUAGUUUAUCAGCAUAGGUCAAUGAAUGGUUUUAAGUUGCUACGGGUUUAAGAGGAUCUCUUAGUUGAUGGGAAUUUUUGAAUCUUUUUUUUGCGUGGGACCCUUUGGCAGUUUUGUAAAAUGUACAGACUAUUUCUCAGAA